RNAcentral lists this long non-coding RNA (1210 nucleotides) under Mytilus galloprovincialis (Mediterranean mussel). The record is from RNAcentral. Lineage: Eukaryota; Metazoa; Mollusca; Bivalvia; Mytilida; Mytilidae.
AUAAUAUAAUAUUUUCUUAUUUUAGCUGUUGGUGUGGAGGGUAAGUACUUUAGAUAAAACUUACUAUCCAUAUUUCUCUUUUAUUGCUUGGCAGUACAUAGUAUGAAUAAGUCAUACAAAGACGUAGAGAUCGUAGUUUUAAAAGUAUUAGUAUUAGUAAUAUAAUUAAACGAAGUAUGACAUGCUUAUUUUGAGUUGUUUUGUUUGAAUCGUCCAAUUAGCAUUAUUUAAUUUAGUUGUGUAAGGGCACGACAGAAAUGUAGAGAGAAUAGAAUUGUCCUGCAGUAGUCCUUUUAAUUUCUGUUUGUAAGGGUUCAUGAAAGAUUAAAAUUAUUUACAAAUUAUUUCUUUUGAAUAACACUAUUGAUAGGUCUUUCAUGUCUGCGUGUCUGGUAACUCCUGAAAUAUAUAGAUAACUUUUAUUUAGCAUGAUAGCAAAAAUUUAGAGUAAGCUCUUCUUAGUUUUCACAUUCUCAUGCAUUUCAACAUAAUUAUAAGUUGAAUUACUAGCACGGGAAAAAGAAACAAAUGUUAUAUUCGUGCACCAAUAUACAAUGUCAACUUGAGUAGGUUUUUAUGUCAUGUUUUCAUCACAGCCUAAUCCCUAGGCAGUCUGGCACUUAAAAACUAAAAAAACACUAAAAAUAAUUUUCAGGACUAAAAAUACUCCAAAUGUUUAAGCAAAACAUGCACACAUAAACUAUUAUUGAACUCGGAAUACAUGAAGGAUGAACCAUUUGCAUUAAAAAAGCAAAGGCUACACAUAAGAUCUAAAACAACUGUUUUUAUUUUGAAAUACAAAUAACCAUAAUGAUGUUAUUUUGAUGCAUAUUUAAACAUGUAAAGCAUCAAAUAAUAUUAAUUUUAUUCAUUGUAUUGCAGACAGUAUGAGUUUAUAGCAGAAUAGCAAAGACAAAGCCUGUAUCAUUUAUUAGAAUAAAGAACAUAAACGUAUUUCUUGAACAAUAGAACACAAUUUGAAGCUUAUGUAUGCUUGCAUGUUUAUUUUUAUGAUAUAAAUAUAUAUGAUUCUAGUUACAUAUAUGAAAACAUUUCAAAUAGUUAGCUACAUUGAGGUUUUAACCACAUAUGUAUGAAGCUUUACUCGUUGCACCAUAUGAAUCAUUCAAACAUUUUGGUAUUCCCCUAUAUUAGUAACUAAUAUGAACUUUAUCUAUUCUCAUGACUGUAUUCUAUUUAGAAUUUGCUA